GAUGAACGCUGGCGGCGUGCCUAAUACAUGCAAGUCGAGCGAACAGACGAGGAGCUUGCUCCUCUGACGUUAGCGGCGGACGGGUGAGUAACACGUGGAUAACCUACCUAUAAGACUGGGAUAACUUCGGGAAACCGGAGCUAAUACCGGAUAAUAUAUUGAACCGCAUGGUUCAAUAGUGAAAGACGGUUUUGCUGUCACUUAUAGAUGGAUCCGCGCCGCAUUAGCUAGUUGGUAAGGUAACGGCUUACCAAGGCAACGAUGCGUAGCCGACCUGAGAGGGUGAUCGGACACACUGGAACUGAGACACGGUCCAGACUACUACGGGAGGCAGCAGUAGGGAAUCUUCCGCAAUGGGCGAAAGCAUGAAGGAGCAACGCCGCGUGAGUGAUGAAGGUCUUCGGAUCGUAAAACUCUGUUAUUAGGGAAGAACAAAUGUGUAAGUAACUAUGCACGUAUUGACGGUACCUAAUCAGAAAGCCACGGCUAACUACGUG
This 497-nucleotide ribosomal RNA is filed under the name uncultured bacterium. RNAcentral describes it as "partial 16S ribosomal RNA". It matches the Rfam family "Bacterial small subunit ribosomal RNA", at positions 28 to 507 of the family's 1533-position model. The record is from RNAcentral.